RNAcentral lists this ribosomal RNA (253 nucleotides) under uncultured bacterium. RNAcentral's name for it is "partial 16S ribosomal RNA". It matches the Rfam family "Bacterial small subunit ribosomal RNA", at positions 524 to 776 of the family's 1533-position model. The record is from RNAcentral.
UACGAAGGGGGCUAGCGUUGCUCGGAAUUACUGGGCGUAAAGGGCGCGUAGGCGGACAGUUAAGUCAGAGGUGAAAGCCCAGGGCUCAACCCUGGAAUUGCCUUUGAUACUGAUUGUCUUGAGUACGGGAGAGGUGUGUGGAACUCCGAGUGUAGAGGUGAAAUUCGUAGAUAUUCGGAAGAACACCAGUGGCGAAGGCGACACACUGGCCCGUUACUGACGCUGAGGCGCGAAAGCGUGGGGAGCAAACAGG